Molecule: transfer RNA, 91 nt
Filed under: Caudoviricetes sp.
Lineage: Duplodnaviria; Heunggongvirae; Uroviricota; Caudoviricetes
Description: tRNA-OTHER
Rfam family: tRNA
About the family: Transfer RNA (tRNA) molecules are approximately 80 nucleotides in length. Their secondary structure includes four short double-helical elements and three loops (D, anti-codon, and T loops).
Source: RNAcentral
GCUGUCGUACUCAAGUCUGGUUUAAGAGGCCGCUUUUCAGAAGCGGUAGGCGGAUAAUCUCCGUGCGUGGGUUCGUAUCCCGCCGGCAGCA